Molecule: ribosomal RNA, 549 nt
Filed under: uncultured bacterium
Lineage: Bacteria
Description: bacterial SSU rRNA
Rfam family: Bacterial small subunit ribosomal RNA
Source: RNAcentral
GCUGGCGGCGUGCCUAACACAUGCAAGUCGAACGAGAAAGUGGAGCAAUCCAUGAGUAAAGUGGCGACCGGGUGAGUAACACGUGACUAACCUACCUCCGAAUGGGGAAUAACUCCGGGAAACCGGGGCUAAUACCGCAUAACACCGCAAGGUCAAAGCAGCAAUGCGUUUGGAGAGGGGGUCGCGGCUGAUUAGCUAGUUGGCGGGGUAACGGCCCACCAAGGCGAAGAUCGGUAUCCGGCCUGAGAGGGCGCACGGACACACUGGAACUGAAACACGGUCCAGACUCCUACGGGAGGCAGCAGUGGGGAAUUUUGCGCAAUGGGGGAAACCCUGACGCAGCAACGCCGCGUGGAGGAUGAAGCCCUUUGGGGCGUGAACUCCUUUCGACCAAGACGAUAAUGACGGUACUGGUGGAAGAAGCACCGGCUAACUCUGUGCCAGCAGCCGCGGUAAUACAGAGGGUGCAAGCGUUGUUCGGAAUUAUUGGGCGUAAAGGGCGCGUAGGCGGUGCCACAAGUCACCUGUGAAACCUCCGGGCUUAACUCG